UGAUGAAUGCGAGGAAGACACAUCUAAUUGUACUAAGUUUUCAAAGUGUAGAAACCUCAAUGGCGCUUAUGAAUGUCACUGUAAAGGUGGUUAUGAAAAAACAUCACAGGGAACUUGUAAAGAAAUUUGCAUCCCUGCUUGCGAUGCAAAUUCAUAUUGUAAAAGAGGAAAGUGUUUAUGUUUGAAUGGCUAUUCUCUCGGCCCAGACCUCACGUGUGAAUCAGGUUUUCUCCGAUCAUCAGGCGUGUUUCUUCGUUCUGGAGAAGUGUUACUCGUCAGAAUAGCAACAUUACCGUUCCUGGUCCUGCGACAUCUUUCAAAAUGAAUUUUUUUCUCUUUGUGUAUUAACUAUUUCUGUAUUGAGUGUAAAAGAAAAAAAUUCAGAAACUGAAACCAAAUCAUAACUAUGC
This is a long non-coding RNA of Stylophora pistillata, 410 nucleotides long. Lineage: Eukaryota; Metazoa; Cnidaria; Anthozoa; Scleractinia; Pocilloporidae. The record is from RefSeq and is a predicted model, not a curated record.